Molecule: ribosomal RNA, 2857 nt
Filed under: Derbesia sp. WEST4838
Lineage: Eukaryota; Viridiplantae; Chlorophyta; Ulvophyceae; Bryopsidales; Derbesiaceae
Description: LSU rRNA
Rfam family: Bacterial large subunit ribosomal RNA
Source: RNAcentral
AAAUAAGUAAAUGUUUCAAGGUGGAUACCUUAGUAUUCAAAGUCGAUGAAGGGCGUAAUAAACUGCGAAAAGUAUCGGUGAAUUGUAAAUAAAUAUUAACCCGAUAAUUCCCGAAUGGAGAAAUCUAUUAAACUUUCAAAUUAAUUCAUAAUUUGAAAAGAGAAAACAUAGUGAAUUGAAACAUCUUAGUAACUAAAGGAAAAGAAAGCAAAAGCGAUUUCCCGAGUAGUGGCGAACGAAAAGGAAAAAGUCUAAACUAAUAUUAUAUUAGGGUUGUGGGGCAACAGUUUUAUAGAUAAUUUAAGGAGAAACAGCUGAAACCUGUACCAAAGAUGGUGAAAGUCCAGUAAUCUUAAAAAUAUAAGUUGAACUCCCAAGUAGCUUGAGACACGUGGAAUCUCUUGUGAAUCGACGAGAACCACCUCGUAAGACUAAAUACUCUUGAAUAACUAAUAGUGAACAAGUACCGUGAGGGAAAGGUGAAAAAGAACCCCUAAAGGGGAGUGAAAAAGAAUAUCAAACCUGAAACAAACCAAUAGUAGGAGAAAUUUAUAUCAAAUUUUGACUGCAUACCUGUUGAAGAAUGAGCCGGCGACUCAUAUAUUCUGGCAAGGUUAAGAAUAAUUUCGAAGCCUAAGUGAAAACAAGUCUGAAUAGGGCGAAAGUCAGUUUAUAUGGACCCGAACCCGAGUGAUUUAACCAUGACCAGGAUGAAACUUGGUUAAACCCAAGUGGAGGUCCGAACUGACCAAUGUUGAAAAAUUGGCAGAUGAGUUAUGGUUAGAGGUGAAAUGCCAAUCGAACUCGGAGCUAGCUGGUUCUCCUCGAAAUACGUUGAGGCGUAGCAUUUAGAAAUCAAUUAAGGGGUAAAGCACUGUUUCGGUACGGGCUAUGAAAAUGGUACCAAAUCGUUGCAAACUAAGAAUACUAAAGUUGAUAACUAAAUAGUCAGACUAUGGGGGAUAAGCUCCAUAGUCUAAAGGGAAACAGCCCAGAUCAUCAGCUAAGGCCCCUAAAUAAUAGCUAAGUGUUAAAGGAGGUAUGAAUGCAAAAACAACCAAAAGGUUUGCCUAGAAGCAGCCAUCCUUAAAAGAGUGCGUAAUAGCUCACUGGUAAAGCGUUCAUGCACCAAAAAUGAAAGGGACUAAGUUAUUUGCCGAAGCUAUGAGCUUAUUAAGCGGUAGAGGAGCGUUCUGUUCUAAGGUGAAGCUCACUUGUAAGAAUGAGUGGAUGAAACAGAAGUGAGAAUGUCGGCUUGAGUAACGAAAACAUUGGUGAGAAUCCAAUGCUCCGAAAAUCUAAGGGUUCCUUUACUAGGCUCGUCCUUGAAGGGUUAGUCAGGACCUAAGAUGAGAUCGAAAGAUAUAGUCGAUGAGAAAUAGGUUAAUAUUCCUAUACUUAUUUAUACUUUGUACAGAGGGACGAAGAAGGCUAUAACAGCGAAUAAUUGGAUUUUUGUUUGGAUAACAAGAUAGUCAAUUGAAGAAAAACUUUUGAAUUAUUAAGUUAUUCAAAGAUAAGAAUCUUUGGAUUUUUAUCUUGUUAGAUGUCAUACUUCCAGGAAAAGCUCUAAUUACUUAUAAGAUAAAUAACCUGUACCAUAAACCGACACAGGUGGAUUAGUAGAAUAUACUGAGGAGCGCGAGAUAACUCUCUCUAAGGAACUCGGCAAAAUAGCUCCGUAACUUCGGGAGAAGGAGUACCCUUAAUUGGGUGACAGUACAUUGACCCAGGCGACUGUUUAACAAAAACACAGGUCUCCGCAAAGUCGAAAGACAACGUAUGGGGGCUGACGCCUGCCCAGUGCCGGAAGGUUAAUGAAGUAAGUUAUUCUUUUGAAAAAGCUUAUAACUCAAGCCCCGGUGAACGGCGGCCGUAACUCUGACGGUCCUAAGGUAGCGAAAUUCCUUGUCGCGUAAGUUGUGACCUGCACGAAAGGCGUAACGAUCUGGGUACUGUCUCAGAGAGAGACUCGGUGAAAUAAACAUGUUCGUGAAGAUGCGAACUUCUUAUACCUGGACAGAAAGACCCUAUGAAGCUUGACUGUAUCUUGAAAUUGAAUUUAAGUUUGUUUUGCGCAGUCUAAGUGGGAGGCUAUGAUGAUCUUUUUUCGGAAAUUUCUGAGCCAACAGUGAGAGACCACUCUAGGCAUUCUAAAAUUCUAAUAGUGAUUUCUUUUAUCAGAACACUUAACAGUUUUAGGUGGGCAGUUUUUUUGGGGCGAAAACCUCCUAAAAAGUAACGGAGGUGUACAAAGGUUCCUUCAGACUGGACGGAAAUCAGUUGGAGAGUAUAAAGGCAAAAAGGAGCUUAACUGUAAGACUGACACGUCAAACAGAGGCGAAAGCCGGUCUUAGUGAUCCGACGAUUCUAUGUGGAAGGGUCGUCGCUCAACGGAUAAAAGUUACUCUAGGGAUAACAGGCUGAUCUUCCCCAAGAGUUCACAUCGACGGGAAGGUUUGGCACCUCGAUGUCGGCUCAUCGCAACCUGGGGCGGUAGUACGUCCCAAGGGUUGGGCUGUUCGCCCAUUAAAGCGGUACGUGAGCUGGGUUCAGAACGUCGUGAGACAGUUUGGUCCAUAUCCGGUAUAAGCGUAAGAAUAUUGAAAAAACCUUUCUAUAAUACGAGAGGACUUGGAAGGAUGAACCUCUGGUGUACCAGUUCUUAUGCCAAUAGGAAACGCUGGGUAGCUAUGUUCAGAGGUGAUAACUGCUGAAAGCAUCUAAGUAGGAAGCCCAUUUUAAGAUGAGUAUUCUUUUAUGAGAUCGCGGGGAGAAUACCCGAUAUAUAGGAAUUAGGUGUAAGACUAGUAAUAGUUGUAGCUGAAAUUUACUAAAGAUCCAAUUUUUUGAUCUC